UACAGAGGUCCCAAGCGUUGUUCGGAUUCAUUGGGCGUAAAGGGUGCGUAGGUGGCGUGGUAAGUCGGGUGUGAAAUCCCGGGGCUCAACCCCGGGACUGCAUUCGAUACUGCCAUGCUUGAGGACUGGAGAGGAGACUGGAAUUUACGGUGUAGCAGUGAAAUGCGUAGAGAUCGUAAGGAAGACCAGUGGCGAAGGCGGGUCUCUGGACAGUUCCUGACACUGAGGCACGAAGGCCAGGGGAGCAAACGGG
RNAcentral lists this ribosomal RNA (253 nucleotides) under uncultured bacterium. RNAcentral describes it as "partial 16S ribosomal RNA". It matches the Rfam family "Bacterial small subunit ribosomal RNA", at positions 524 to 776 of the family's 1533-position model. The record is from RNAcentral.